Long non-coding RNA from Lolium perenne, 1234 nucleotides. RefSeq lists it as uncharacterized. NCBI's taxonomy places the organism in Eukaryota, Viridiplantae, Streptophyta, Magnoliopsida, Poales, Poaceae. The record is from RefSeq and is a predicted model, not a curated record.
CCCAUCCUCUACGAGGCCCUACAACUGCAAUCCAGAUCUUACUAGUCCGAUCUACCAGACUCUUGCACGCCGCCUCCCACCGCCGUGACCCUCUCCUCCCCCGCACUUCAUCCCCAUCGUCCGCCCUCAUCGUCGUCUCGAGAGGAAUAUGACGGUCCUCAUCGUUGGCCAUCUAAGCGGCGGAUCGGCAUGCCUGUCACUCCUUGGACACCGGAUGUACUGAAGGGGUCGCUGCACCAGCACUCCAGCAGCCGUUAGAUUCCACGCCGGUGUAACCAGGCAAUACAGGUAGGAAGAUGCUCCUGAUAUUGGUGUUUCUCUAAUCUGUACGGGCAGGAUGACGCAGCAGGGCUAGGUGUGGUGGAUCUAUACUGCUUCUAACGGAGGUUUGAUUAAUAGUAGUGAUGUUCGGUUUGAAACAACACUGGUGAUUUUGGUUUACUUAAGCAAUACACGAUCUGUCCAUCAUGUUGUAACCUGUUUGAUACUGGUUUUAGUCUGUGAUCUGCUGGAGCAGGUGUGAUUUUUUUUUCCAUUCUGAUCCCUAAUCAAUUGAAUCAGUUCUUUGUCCUACAGCAAGAAGAAUAUUUGGGUAUAAUCCCCGCAUGUGUACUGGACGAACUUAACAUCACGCGUUGGAGAUUUAGGUCUGGUAGUAACUAUGGGAGACGUGGAAUUAUGUGAUUGUUUGACUUGCAUAUUUUGUGCCUAUGUGAUGUGGUUCAAGUUGCCAAUUCAUUGCUACUUUUAGCUAAUCUAUUGUGUUGUAUUACCCCUCUUAGGUUUCUUGUCCUCACGUAUGGAUAAUUGAAGCCAGAAAGAACCGAUUGUAAUCUGAAGACAUGCGGGAAGGACUAGAGGUUUCCUGGUCUACUAUUAUGAUUGUGUGAUCCAUUCCUCACCCUGUAGUAGAUGACUGAAGCCGGUUGGAGCUAGGCAGGCCACCAGCAAGUGAAGCAUUACUUGUGCUAUAUCCUAAUGUGAGGUAAAUUUAAAAAGACUACUGUAUGGUCAACAUCUAUAUAUCAAGAAUCCAACGAGGAGGAGGCAUGGAGAAGGCAAACGAAUGAUUUCACUUUAUUUCUUAGGUUUUGUUUGAUUAAAAAAUGUGUCCUGGGGCAUAUGGAUAGCUAGAUGAAUUAGCGUUCAAUGUUCUUUUUCUAUCAGGUUGAUGUAUGUAACUCAGAUUGUGUUUUUGAAUUUCACUGAAUAAAGCUUUAUGAUUUAUUUAUAA